AACCGUGACAAUACACCUAAGCUAAAAGGUCAACGCACGCCUAAACUAGCAGCUCAACUCAUGAUUGGACUAAUAAUUUAAAACUAAAACUAAAACCUAAACCUAUUUUACAAAUAAAACUCAUAAUUAGGCUAACAACCCUACCCAUCAACUAACGACUUGACGGUAUGCUAUUCCUUCUUUUUUUUAAAGCUUCACUACCAUCGAAAUAUAUAUAACAGUAGUAAAAUUGUAAACUUUUAUUUUUAUACCAUAGUAGUAUGGCUAUGAUUGGAAGGUUGUAGUGUCAGUCAAGUUGGAAAAACUGUUGGCACUUUUUUUCUGAAUCAAUGGAAUUCUUAUCAAACACAUGCAAACGUAUAAAGAAGACUUGAAUAGAUAAUCUUUGAAUUCAAACAAAUCCUAGUCAACUGAACAACGCAUCUACCUCAGCAGUCCUUGGGAAAUGUAUAAAUAGGCAAGCAUUAAACUUUUAUAUAUAAAACCAUCGAGAUCUCUAUUUUUAACUCGGUGGUUUCUUUCACAAGACUUACUUCAAGAACGACAACACAUCCUGACAGUUAAUUCAUUAAUACUAAUACUAUCGAGGAUUCUGUCAUCCAAGUGGAAUGAACAUGGGCAUCAAAGGAAUGUUUCCUCAAAGUGAGAACUAUAGUGUUGCAAGAGCGAAUACUUGGUCGCUUAGAACAAAACGAAUUACUGUCAUUAGGAUAUGCUCAAAAGUGUGGCGCUAUAUCUUGUAUCUAUUGCUACGUUCAUUCAUUGAUCCAACAGCAUGGGUAUAGAAAGAAGACGAUAAGCAGGAGUUGCGCAAACGAAGUUAUGGAGUUUCUUGCAUGCAUGCAUGUUUUGGCAUAAAGCUGGUACUUCGAAAUAUGCCUAUGAAAUCUCUACCUGCUUUGCACCCUAAAUAUAACGUGUCGUCUUGUAGCUGCAUGUGAAUUACAACGAUUGAUAGAUGAAAAACAAAUCGACUUGUUGCCCAUUUCAUCGUUUCAAACGACUGGUAGUGUUGCUUGUGUCCAUAUCCAUACUAUGUCCGUGUGUUUUGCUUUAUUACACUUGGUCAAAGAAAUCUAUAUGAUGUU
Molecule: long non-coding RNA, 1088 nt
Filed under: Schizosaccharomyces pombe (fission yeast)
Lineage: Eukaryota; Fungi; Ascomycota; Schizosaccharomycetes; Schizosaccharomycetales; Schizosaccharomycetaceae
Description: centromeric lncRNA nam6
Source: RNAcentral